Molecule: ribosomal RNA, 382 nt
Filed under: uncultured eukaryote
Lineage: Eukaryota
Description: partial 18S ribosomal RNA
Rfam family: Eukaryotic small subunit ribosomal RNA
Source: RNAcentral
UGUAAGCGUAUACCAAAGUUGUUGCAGUUAAAACGCUCGUAGUCGGAAUUUGGCAGUUCCGGAUGUGUGCACGUCGUGUGCGCACUUCGCGGGGAUUGCUUUUGUGGUCUUGCGUAGGAUGAGGCACUUUUAUUAGUGAACGUCCUCACGCAACCACUUUUUACUGUGAGAAAAUCGGAGUGCUCAAAGCAGGCAUUUGCCGUGAAUGUAUUAGCAUGGAAUAAUAGAAUAGGACUUGGUUCUAUUUUGUUGGUUUGUUGGGACUGAGUAAUGAUUAAGAGGGACAGUUGGGGGCAUUUGUAUUUCGGUGCUAGAGGUGAAAUUCUUAGAUUACCGAAAGACAAACUGCUGCGAAAGCGUCUGCCAAGGAUGUUUUCAUCGA